AUACGUAGGGUGCAAGCGUUAAUCGGAAUUACUGGGCGUAAAGCGUGCGCAGGCGGUUUUUUAAGAAAGUGGUGGAAACCCCGGGCUCCACCUGGGAACUGCCAUUGUGACUGCAAGGCCGGAGUGCGGCAGAGGGGGAUGGAAGUCCGCGGGUAGCAGUGAAAUGCGUAGAUAUGCGGAGGAACACCGAUGGCGAAGGCAAUCCCCUGGGCCUGCACUGACGCUCAUGCACGAAAGCGUGGGGAGCAAACAGGAUUAGAUACCCUGGUAGUCCACGCCCUAAACGAUGUCAACUGGUUGUUGGGGAUUUAUUUUCUCAGUAACGAAGCUAACGCGUGAAGUUGACCGCCUGGGGAGUACGGCCGCAAGGUUAAAACUUAAAGGAAUUGACGGGG
Molecule: ribosomal RNA, 395 nt
Filed under: uncultured bacterium
Lineage: Bacteria
Description: partial 16S ribosomal RNA
Rfam family: Bacterial small subunit ribosomal RNA
Source: RNAcentral